This 478-nucleotide ribosomal RNA is filed under the name uncultured bacterium. RNAcentral's name for it is "partial 16S ribosomal RNA". It matches the Rfam family "Bacterial small subunit ribosomal RNA", at positions 28 to 523 of the family's 1533-position model. The record is from RNAcentral.
AUUGAACGCUGGCGGCGUGCUUAACACAUGCAAGUCGAACGGUAAGGCCCUUCGGGGUACACGAGUGGCGAACGGGUGAGUAACACGUGGGUGAUCUGCCCUGCACUUCGGGAUAAGCCUGGGAAACUGGGUCUAAUACCGGAUAGGACCACUGCCUGCAUGGGUGGUGGUGGAAAGCUUUUGCGGUGUGGGAUGGGCCCGCGGCCUAUCAGCUUGUUGGUGGGGUGAUGGCCUACCAAGGCGACGACGGGUAGCCGGCCUGAGAGGGUGACCGGCCACACUGGGACUGAGAUACGGCCCAGACUCCUACGGGAGGCAGCAGUGGGGAAUAUUGCACAAUGGGCGCAAGCCUGAUGCAGCGACGCCGCGUGAGGGAUGACGGCCUUCGGGUUGUAAACCUCUUUCAGCACCGACGAAGCGCAAGUGACGGUAGGUGCAGAAGAAGGACCGGCCAACUACGUGCCAGCAGCCGCCGCAG